GAUGAACGCUGGCGGCGUGCCUAAUACAUGCAAGUCGAGCGAACAGACGAGGAGCUUGCUCCUCUGACGUUAGCGGCGGACGGGUGAGUAACACGUGGAUAACCUACCUAUAAGACUGGGAUAACUUCGGGAAACCGGAGCUAAUACCGGAUAAUAUAUUGAACCGCAUGGUUCAAUAGUGAAAGACGGUUUUGCUGUCACUUAUAGAUGGAUCCGCGCCGCAUUAGCUAGUUGGUAAGGUAACGGCUUACCAAGGCGACGAUGCGUAGCCGACCUGAGAGGGUGAUCGGCCACACGGGAACUGAGACACGGUCAAGACUCCUACGGGAGGCAGCAGUAGGGAAUCUUCCGCAAAGGGCGAAAGCCUGACGGAGCAACGCCGCGUGAGUGAUGAAGGUCUUCGGAUCGUAAAACUCUGUUAUUAGGGAAGAACAAAUGUGUAAGUAACUAUGCACGUCUUGACGGUACCUAAUCAGAAAGCCACGGCUAACUACGUG
RNAcentral lists this ribosomal RNA (497 nucleotides) under uncultured bacterium. RNAcentral describes it as "partial 16S ribosomal RNA". It matches the Rfam family "Bacterial small subunit ribosomal RNA", at positions 28 to 507 of the family's 1533-position model. The record is from RNAcentral.